CAUUUAGGAUAUAAUUUUGUACUUAAUAUAUUGAUUUGAUCAAUAAAAAGAUAAAUUUAUUUUUUAUUCAAGUGUGAUGUGUCCUUGAAUUGUCUAUGGAAUUAAUUUUCGAUACAUAUUCUCAAAUAAUUGAAAAUUAGAGACAUAUAUUUAAUUCUUAAAUACUUCUGAUUAUAGAAUCAUCAUGAGGAUGAUGAUCGAUCUGGAUAGACUAACGCACAGAUCAUUUCCUUCAGGAUAGAUGGGUCUUUGGUCUAUAGUGUAGAGACACUGGACGAUAAGUGCUGGUAGUUGUUAGAGAACAACUAGUACUGAGCAUGACCAUACGAGUGAUCACUUAGAUUUCUACUUGAUCAUCAGUGAUCGUUUCGAUGCUGUAAUGGUGUGACUGGUUUUUUGAUUUGAGAUGGUAUUGCUGCUUGUAGUGAGGCUGCUGGUGUUUGAUUGAUACAUAAACAUG
RNAcentral lists this long non-coding RNA (460 nucleotides) under Elaeis guineensis (African oil palm). RNAcentral's name for it is "long non-coding RNA (EGUI_LNC058818)". Lineage: Eukaryota; Viridiplantae; Streptophyta; Magnoliopsida; Arecales; Arecaceae. The record is from RNAcentral.